GAUCCUGGCUCAGAUUGAACGCUGGCGGAAUGCUUUACACAUGCAAGUCGAACGGUAGAGGGGGCAACCCCUUGAGAGUGGCGAACGGGUGAGUAAUAUAGUCGGAACGUGCCCAGUCGUGGGGAUAACGUAGCGAAAGUUACGCUAAUACCGCAUACGAUCUACGGAUGAAAGCGGGGGACCGUAAGGCCUCGCGCGAUUAGAGCGGCCGAUAUCUGAUUAGCUUGUUGGUGGGGGUAAAAAGCCCUACCAAGGCGACGAUCAGUAGCUGGUCUGAGAGGACGAUCAGCCACACUGGGACUGAGACACGGCCCCAGACUCCUACGGGAGGCAGCAGUGGGGAAUUUUGGACAAUGGGGGCAACCCUGAUCCAGCAAUGCCGCGUGAGUGAAGAAGGCCUUCGGGUUGUAAAGCUCUUUCGGGCUGGGAAGAAAUCGCACAGGCUAAUACUCUGUGUGGAUGACGGUACCAGCACAAGAAGCACCGGCUAACUACGUG
Molecule: ribosomal RNA, 498 nt
Filed under: uncultured bacterium
Lineage: Bacteria
Description: bacterial SSU rRNA
Rfam family: Bacterial small subunit ribosomal RNA
Source: RNAcentral